Molecule: long non-coding RNA, 1957 nt
Organism: Neopelma chrysocephalum (saffron-crested tyrant-manakin)
Lineage: Eukaryota; Metazoa; Chordata; Aves; Passeriformes; Pipridae
Exons: 4
Source: RefSeq, a predicted model, not a curated record
AAUGUAUUUCCUGUGAUCUAAUUCCAGUUGUUGCUGUAAAAAUGUUGUACAUGUCCGUUCUCCCUGACUUAUUGUGAAGAACCCACCGUUCCCAUUUGGACCCCAGAGGGGAAGGGACAAUCCACAGGGUGAUCAGUGGAUGGGGAUCCCCACAAAGGGGCCGGAAGAGCCAUUAGGUCCCAAGGGAGAAGGGGAUAGCACUGAGGUCCCACAGCUCUUCUCCUCAGGCCCUGCCACCGUCCCCAGGGAAUCCAAGUAUUCUGUGGGACACAGAGGCACUUUCUCCCAGAGAUCCAAGCAGAAAAAAGAGCAGAAGAGGUGGCCAGCACCCCUUUCUUACUGAUUAGGGGGGUUAACCCGUCCCUGGCUGCGAAGCCUUGAAACCCAUUUCCCUCAGCCACAUCUCGGAGUUCCUGGCUGAUCCCGGGGGCAGCAGCACACACAGGAAUGCCCCGUGGGCUUGGGUGGAAGGAGAGGGAAAGAGGAUCCAGUUCUAUCUCCCAGCAAGGGCAGGAUCUGUAAAACACAGAAAUAGCCCCAACUGGAUUUCUGCUUUAAUUAUUUGAAAUUUAGAUAAGCUCCCUGUUGUGUUGCAUAAACAACUGGUGAUAUGUCAGGUGCACUUCCUUGGAUACGUACAGUGAGCCCAGUUCCCUCUGCAGCCCUCUCACCUUCCCUUGGAUUAGAGGGAAAGGAGUUACAGGAUAAAAAACUGUAACCAACCACGGGCUGUUCAAGCACUGUGUAAGUGUAAACAUUUAUUUUAAGACCAAUUUAGGCUCUUUUUGUAUGUCUUUCAGUUACAUCUGUUUCCGUGGGUGAAAAAUCCUGGGAAAAGAUGUGACCAUCAUUUAACAGCCUGAACUACUAAAGCUUGAAUGUUGAAUGCUCCCUGGGUGUUCACAGACAGAGCCUGACACCAAAACAAUAAAGGAGUGUGGAGUUAAGGUUUUAGAGUUUGGGCCACACUCAUUCAAGGAAUUUGGGAGCUGAGCUUAAUGGACUUCCCAAGAGUUAACAAGAUUCCUUAAAUGCCAUGUGCUGACUUCCUAACCCAGCUAAGAGAAAUGCUGAAAAAAGAGCUGUUGCUGAGCUCCAGUUCUCUGAGCCAGAAUCCAAGGAGCCUCUAUUAUAAUCUUCCAGCUGAUUGAUCCGAUGGCUCUGGCGGCACUGCUGAUGUCCGGGGCACUCUGGAACAAGGCUCUGGUUUGACCCUUCCUGCUGGAAUGGUUCUGCUCUCUGUGGGCUGACAGGAAUUGCGUGUGUUUGCAGCCUUUGGGUGCAGACACUCCUUUGGGAAGGAAGGAUCCGUGUUCCUGUCUCUGCUGCAGUGAACAGCUCCCAGUGACUCCGUGAUGGAGCUCCCUGCAGUGCAGAGCAGUGGAUUUAACAGCCAGAGCUGUGCAGGCCCAUGUUCCCAGGACACACUGCAAUGCAGGAAUGUGGGUGAGUAAACAACUAUUUCAGGGGGAUUGUUCAAGGAUUGAGAUGUGCUGGAGGCAGGCAACUUCCAUGUCCAUGGAGUCACCAUCCAUCAGAAGGUGGGGCACAAGAACCUCCACUGACAGCUCAGGGAAUGACACAACUGCAAUGAGCAGCCAGUACUCAACAGAGAUGGGGCAGGUUCCUGUGUGUGUAGCACCAACAACCUACUCCUGGAAUGGGUUGGUGGAAAGGGACCUUAAAGAUCAUCUCGUUCCACCCCCUGCCACGUGCAGACACACCUUCCACUAGCCCAGGUUGCUCCAAGCCCCAUCCAACCUGGCCUAGGACCCUUCUAGGGAUGGGACACUCACUUGGAAGCAACAUGCCAGGCCCCCAUUCUCAACUGCAGAACCUCCUGCCUGGGUUUUUAGCCACUGGAAAGAUCAAAACUCUCCCAUGUUGCUUCUGAAAUUGGAAUGUUAAACAGCAAUUCUACAAAAGGGUCAUUAAGAAGCAAUUACCUACCUCUUCU